AUUGAACGCUGGCGGCAGGCCUAACACAUGCAAGUCGAGCGGAUGAAGGGGGCUUGCUCCUGGAUUCAGCGGCGGACGGGUGAGUAAUGCCUAGGAAUCUGCCUGGUAGUGGGGGAUAACGUCCGGAAACGGGCGCUAAUACCGCAUACGCCCUGAGGGAGAAAGUGGGGGAUCUUCGGACCUCACGCUAUCAGAUGAGCCUAGGUCGGAUUAGCUAGUUGGUGGGGUAAAGGCCUACCAAGGCGACGAUCCGUAACUGGUCUGAGAGGAUGAUCAGUCACACUGGAACUGAGACACGGUCCAGACUCCUACGGGAGGCAGCAGUGGGGAAUAUUGGACAAUGGGCGAAAGCCUGAUCCAGCCAUGCCGCGUGUGUGAAGAAGGUCUUCGGAUUGUAAAGCACUUUAAGUUGGGAGGAAGGGCAGUAAGUUAAUACCUUGCUGUUUUGACGUUACCAACAGAAUAAGCACCGGCUAACUUCGUG
RNAcentral lists this ribosomal RNA (484 nucleotides) under uncultured bacterium. Its description in RNAcentral is "partial 16S ribosomal RNA". It matches the Rfam family "Bacterial small subunit ribosomal RNA", at positions 30 to 507 of the family's 1533-position model. The record is from RNAcentral.